CACUAUCGUUAACUGAAUACAUAGGUUAACGAGGCGAACCGGGGGAACUGAAACAUCUAAGUACCCCGAGGAAAAGAAAUCAACCGAGAUUCCCCCAGUAGCGGCGAGCGAACGGGGAGCAGCCCAGAGUCUGAAUCAGCUUGUGUGUUAGUGGAACGGUCUGGAAAGUCCGACGGUACAGGGUGAUAGUCCCGUACACCAAAAUGCACAGGUUGUGAACUCGAAGAGUAGGGCGGGACACGUGGUAUCCUGUCUGAAUAUGGGGGGACCAUCCUCCAAGGCUAAAUACUCCUGACUGACCGAUAGUGAACCAGUACCGUGAGGGAAAGGCGAAAAGAACCCCGGCGAGGGGAGUGAAAAAGAACCUGAAACCGUGUACGUACAAGCAGUGGGAGCACCUUCGGGUGUGACUGCGUACCUUUUGUAUAAUGGGUCAGCGACUUAUAUUCUGUAGCAAGGUUAACCGUAUAGGGGAGCCGCAGGGAAACCGAGUCUUAACUGGGCGUUAAGUUGCAGGGUAUAGACCCGAAACCCGGUGAUCUAGCCAUGGGCAGGUUGAAGGUUGGGUAACACUAACUGGAGGACCGAACCGACUAAUGUUGAAAAAUUAGCGGAUGACUUGUGGCUGGGGGUGAAAGGCCAAUCAAACCGGGAGAUAGCUGGUUCUCCCCGAAAGCUAUUUAGGUAGCGCCUCGUGAAUUCAUCUUCGGGGGUAGAGCACUGUUUCGGCUAGGGGGUCAUCCCGACUUACCAACCCGAUGCAAACUACGAAUACCGAAGAAUGUUAUCACGGGAGACACACGGCGGGUGCUAACGUCCGUCGUGAAGAGGGAAACAACCCAGACCGCCAGCUAAGGUCCCAAAGUCAUGGUUAAGUGGGAAACGAUGUGGGAAGGCACAGACAGCCAGGAUGUUGGCUUAGAAGCAGCCAUCAUUUAAAGAAAGCGUAAUAGCUCACUGGUCGAGUCGGCCUGCGCGGAAGAUGUAACGGGGCUAAACCAUGCACCGAAGCUGCGGCAGCGACACUAUGUGUUGUUGGGUAGGGGAGCGUUCUGUAAGCCUGCGAAGGUGUGCUGUGAGGCAUGCUGGAGGUAUCAGAAGUGCGAAUGCUGACAUAAGUAACGAUAAAGCGGGUGAAAAGCCCGCUCGCCGGAAGACCAAGGGUUCCUGUCCAACGUUAAUCGGGGCAGGGUGAGUCGACCCCUAAGGCGAGGCCGAAAGGCGUAGUCGAUGGGAAACAGGUUAAUAUUCCUGUACUUGGUGUUACUGCGAAGGGGGGACGGAGAAGGCUAUGUUAGCCGGGCGACGGUUGUCCCGGUUUAAGCAUGUAGGCUGGUUAUCCAGGCAAAUCCGGAUAAUCAAGGCUGAGGUGUGAUGACGAGGCACUACGGUGCUGAAGUAACAAAUGCCCUGCUUCCAGGAAAAGCCUCUAAGCAUCAGGUAACAUUAAAUCGUACCCCAAACCGACACAGGUGGUCAGGUAGAGAAUACCAAGGCGCUUGAGAGAACUCGGGUGAAGGAACUAGGCAAAAUGGUGCCGUAACUUCGGGAGAAGGCACGCUGGUGUGUAGGUGAAGUCCCUGCGGAUGGAGCUGAGACCAGUCGAAGAUACCAGCUGGCUGCAACUGUUUAUUAAAAACACAGCACUGUGCAAACACGAAAGUGGACGUAUACGGUGUGACGCCUGCCCGGUGCCGGAAGGUUAAUUGAUGGGGUUAUCCGUAAGGAGAAGCUCUUGAUCGAAGCCCCGGUAAACGGCGGCCGUAACUAUAACGGUCCUAAGGUAGCGAAAUUCCUUGUCGGGUAAGUUCCGACCUGCACGAAUGGCGUAAUGAUGGCCAGGCUGUCUCCACCCGAGACUCAGUGAAAUUGAACUCGCUGUGAAGAUGCAGUGUACCCGCGGCAAGACGGAAAGACCCCGUGAACCUUUACUAUAGCUUGACACUGAACAUUGAGCCUUGAUGUGUAGGAUAGGUGGGAGGCUUUGAAGCGUGGACGCCAGUCUGCGUGGAGCCAACCUUGAAAUACCACCCUUUAAUGUUUGAUGUUCUAACGUUGGCCCCUGACCGGGGUUGCGGACAGUGUCUGGUGGGUAGUUUGACUGGGGCGGUCUCCUCCCAAAGCGUAACGGAGGAGCACGAAGGUUAGCUAAUCCUGGUCGGACAUCAGGAGGUUAGUGCAAUGGCAUAAGCUAGCUUGACUGCGAGCGUGACGGCGCGAGCAGGUGCGAAAGCAGGUCAUAGUGAUCCGGUGGUUCUGAAUGGAAGGGCCAUCGCUCAACGGAUAAAAGGUACUCCGGGGAUAACAGGCUGAUACCGCCCAAGAGUUCAUAUCGACGGCGGUGUUUGGCACCUCGAUGUCGGCUCAUCACAUCCUGGGGCUGAAGUAGGUCCCAAGGGUAUGGCUGUUCGCCAUUUAAAGUGGUACGCGAGCUGGGUUUAGAACGUCGUGAGACAGUUCGGUCCCUAUCUGCCGUGGGCGCUGGAGAAUUGAGGGGGGCUGCUCCUAGUACGAGAGGACCGGAGUGGACGCAUCACUGGUGUUCGGGUUGUCAUGCCAAUGGCACUGCCCGGUAGCUAAAUGCGGAAGAGAUAAGUGCUGAAAGCAUCUAAGCACGAAACUUGCCCCGAGAUGAGUUCUCCCUGAGACUUUAAGUCUCCUGAAGGAACGUUGAAGACGA
RNAcentral lists this ribosomal RNA (2680 nucleotides) under Klebsiella pneumoniae. Its description in RNAcentral is "partial 23S ribosomal RNA". It matches the Rfam family "Bacterial large subunit ribosomal RNA". Lineage: Bacteria; Pseudomonadati; Pseudomonadota; Gammaproteobacteria; Enterobacterales; Enterobacteriaceae. The record is from RNAcentral.